UACGUAGGGGGCAAGCGUUGUCCGGAAUCAUUGGGCGUAAAGCGCGUGUAGGCGGCUUGGUAAGUCUGGUGUGAAACCUCGGGGCUCAACCCCGAGCCUGCACUGGAUACUGCCUCGCUCGAGUCCGGGAGGGGAGAGCGGAAUUCCUAGUGUAGCGGUGAAAUGCGCAGAUAUCAGGAGGAACACCGGUGGCGAAGGCGGAUCUCUGGGCCUUACCUGACGCUCAGGUGCGAAAGCUAGGGGAGCGAACAGG
Molecule: ribosomal RNA, 253 nt
Filed under: uncultured bacterium
Lineage: Bacteria
Description: partial 16S ribosomal RNA
Rfam family: Bacterial small subunit ribosomal RNA
Source: RNAcentral